CUACAGGGAUGAUUUAAAGUUGAACUCUCUCUUUCUGAUUGUGUAGUGGAGAAGACAGACAAAAAUCUGAGUAGC
This is a small nucleolar RNA of Meriones unguiculatus (Mongolian gerbil), 75 nucleotides long. Its record names the gene SNORD26. It matches the Rfam family "Small nucleolar RNA SNORD26". From Rfam's summary of the family: U26 is a member of the C/D class of snoRNA which contain the C (UGAUGA) and D (CUGA) box motifs. U26 is encoded within the U22 snoRNA host gene (UHG) in mammals and is thought to act as a 2'-O-ribose methylation guide for ribosomal RNA. The record is from Ensembl. Lineage: Eukaryota; Metazoa; Chordata; Mammalia; Rodentia; Muridae.